CAGUAGCCGCGGUAAUACGAAGGGUGCAAGCGUUAAUCGGAAUUACUGGGCGUAAAGCGUGCGUAGGCGGUUUGUUAAGUCUGCUGUGAAAUCCCCGGGCUCAACCUGGGAAUGGCAGUGGAUACUGGCUCGCUAGAGUGUGUCAGAGGAUGGUGGAAUUCCCGGUGUAGCGGUGAAAUGCGUAGAGAUCGGGAGGAACAUCAGUGGCGAAGGCGGCCAUCUGGGACAACACUGACGCUGAGGCACGAAAGCGUGGGGAGCAAACAGGAUUAGAUACCCGGGUAGUCCCUGUCUCUUAUAC
RNAcentral lists this ribosomal RNA (301 nucleotides) under uncultured bacterium. RNAcentral describes it as "partial 16S ribosomal RNA". It matches the Rfam family "Bacterial small subunit ribosomal RNA", at positions 509 to 807 of the family's 1533-position model. The record is from RNAcentral.